AACUAAAAUAAUUCAGCUAAAAUAAAUGCAAUCUUAUUCCAUUGACUGACACAAAUUAUAAAGUCUCACAGUUCUCAAUACGCAGUGGAACAAUAAAGACAGAACAUUGAUUUAAAUAAAACCUAAUCUAAGAUAACUUGUGCCAUAAUUCUUUUAUUCGCUCUCCCAUAUUGUAAAACUCCGGAUCGAGCUAAUUCUUCGGAUCUGUAAAAAUAGUAAGAAAUCGUAUAAUGAGCUAGACAGUCCAGUAAGUAAUAAACACCUUAACUAGUCAAUUCAUAUAAUAACAUAAAAUAUGAAUACAAAUUAGGAUGAGUCAGCAUAAUAACAUAAUCAAUUCAUUUUCAAAUACAAAUUCAUUGAAAUCCGUAUCUUUCAAAUAUCCAUGUACAUAAUCGUAAAUCUAAUUCGAAACAAAUCACAUUCAACUCAACAGCCUUUAGCUACGACCACACUUAUACCCUGUGGCUAGGCCAGAAACAGAACCGCACUUAUACCCUGCGGUGUGGGCCAGAAUACCGCAC
RNAcentral lists this long non-coding RNA (524 nucleotides) under Phoenix dactylifera (date palm). RNAcentral describes it as "long non-coding RNA (PDAC_LNC012711)". The record is from RNAcentral. Lineage: Eukaryota; Viridiplantae; Streptophyta; Magnoliopsida; Arecales; Arecaceae.